This 292-nucleotide ribosomal RNA is filed under the name uncultured bacterium. RNAcentral describes it as "partial 16S ribosomal RNA". It matches the Rfam family "Bacterial small subunit ribosomal RNA", at positions 505 to 796 of the family's 1533-position model. The record is from RNAcentral.
GUGCCAGCCGCCGCGGUAAUACGUAGGGGGCAAGCGUUGUCCGGAUUUAUUGGGCGUAAAGCGCGUGUAGGCGGCCAGGUAGGUCUGGUGUGAAAACUCGAGGCUCAACCUCGAGAGGUCAUCGGAAACCAUCUGGCUAGAGUCCGGAAGAGGAGAGUGGAAUUCCCGGUGUAGCGGUGAAAUGCGCAGAUAUCGGGAAGAACACCUAUGGCGAAGGCAGCUCUCUGGGACGGUACUGACGCUGAGACGCGAAAGCGUGGGGAGCGAACAGGAUUAGAAACCCUCGUAGUCC